GUAAGUGAUUCAGAUGAGAAACCUGAAACCAAGUAUGAUCAUAUGGUAACUACAAAAAUCCAACAAUUUGAACAGCUGUCCUGUCUUAAUAGGUAUGUCUGAAAGAUAAAAGAUCUACCUUGUCCUAGUGAUGAAUCUAAAAGCAAGAAACAAAGAAAGAAAGAAGGUGCAAACAGUAUAAGGUCAACAAAUUAUGCAUUUUGUUAAAUACAUAAAUCCUUCACAUUUGUCUAUUCUCCAAAGAACAAAGAAUGGUUUCAGAAUCCCAAUGCAUGAUACCAACUCAUAAUAAUACUCGCAUAAUGCUUCUGAACUUCACCAUUCUUCUUCACAUUGUGUUUUGCUGCAUUUGUGUUAAUCCCUUACAAGCUACAAAAUAAGGAUAGGAAAAAUAAUUGCCAUUAUUGAAGAUAUAUUCCUAAUCAAUCAAUUUUGCAAUGCAGCACACUGUAUGUAGGAUAAAACUAUCAGUACAUAACAUCUGGAUCAAAGAAAGAAAAAAAUUAGCAGAUAGGUACAUGCCGAUAUGGUAACUUGUUUAUGGUACAUAAGCGAAUAAGAAUAUCCAUUCAAGAGCCAUAUAUUAGAUUUGAAUAAAAACUCCAGACUUGAGUUAAGAAAAGCACAAAAGAGAAACCAACAGAUGAAAAGAGAAAAUUUCUAGAGAAUAGGCAUUUCCGCUCCCUUUGUGCUACACAGUAUCCAUUCUGGUAACUAAAAAAUAAAUAAAUGCACAAUUACAAGUUAGAUCAGCACUAAAGCUUACAUUACAGCACAUUCAAUGAGCAUGCAGAACAUAUUAACAAAAGAAAAUAAGACAACAAAAUGUAAUAAUACUUUACUCAUAACUGUUUAUAAGGUCUGCUCCUGUUUGGAUUGGGCAUUUCAUUCAUUCCUUAACAUAGAAAUGCCCAAGCUCAACAAAUUUAUAAAUCAUAUAACAAACUCUCAAGCAUCAUUAUCAAUGCAAUCCAUCUUCACUGUAAUCACAUUGGUCACGCAUAUGGGCCUGUAGGUGGUCACGCAUAUGGGCCCGUAGGUAGUAACUAAUGCAUUGCUACUUCAAGAAGAAACCAGCAAACCACACCACUUACAAAUCUGACUUACUUCCAGCCUUGCGCCACAAAGCAAUGACCUAUAAUUUUACAAUGAGAACUUAAAACCAGAAGAUAAUAAGCUGAAGGCCCUAUCACUAAUAUGUCGUUCUAAUUUAUAUUAUAUUAACAUAUCUAUUUCACCAUGGGAAAAGCUUUCAUUUUCCCUACAAGUUCCUUAACCUUACAAUUGGACACAUGAUGCAAAAACAAAAACUAUUAGAGAAUAACAAAACAAGAAAAUCAAUUCUGCUAAGCAAUGAACAUUGAACAGUAUCCACAAAUAUCAAAUUUUCAAAGACCCACGAUACCUUGGCCAUCAUUUAAGUAACAUUGAAAAUAACCUCUCAUUUUUCAUCCCCUAAUAACAAAUUAUAGGCAUGAGUACAUUGCGGCACUUCAAUUGCUGCUGACUGCUGUAUAGUAAAACGAUAAGUUCUUUAAUCCUCUUCUUGAAGGUGUCUGAA
RNAcentral lists this unclassified non-coding RNA (1561 nucleotides) under Hevea brasiliensis (rubber tree). Lineage: Eukaryota; Viridiplantae; Streptophyta; Magnoliopsida; Malpighiales; Euphorbiaceae. The record is from RNAcentral.